Molecule: long non-coding RNA, 473 nt
Organism: Homo sapiens (human)
Lineage: Eukaryota; Metazoa; Chordata; Mammalia; Primates; Hominidae
Source: Ensembl
GGCGGCCGAGGCUCGGGGUGAGUGAGGGGCGGCAGGGCUCUGAGCCUGGCGGGUUCCGGCUAUUCCCUUCGCGGUCCAGUUUAGUCCACUGCGAGGGCACCUGCAGCGCCGGGAUCUGAGUGCGAAACUCCGAGCGGAAGCUGGUCUGGCAGGUCCUCUGGAGCUUGGGGCCAGGCGGGGGCGACUUGGGGGAGCCAUCCUUGGGCUCCCAGACGGACCUCCAGGACCACUGGCUGCCCAUGAGAGACGAAGGAUGGCAUCCAAGGGGGCCGGCGUGUCUUUCUCCCGCAAGAGCUGUAGGCUGACCUCAGAUGCUGAGAAAUCCAGGGUCACAGUUACUCGGGAGGCUGAGGCAGGAGAAUCGCUUGAACCGGAGAGGCGGACGUUGCAGUGAGCCGAGGUCAAACCAGUGCACUCCAGCCUGGGCAACAGAGCGAGACUCCAUCUGAAAAAGAAACAAAAAGAAAAAAAAA